RNAcentral lists this ribosomal RNA (834 nucleotides) under uncultured archaeon. RNAcentral describes it as "bacterial SSU rRNA". It matches the Rfam family "Archaeal small subunit ribosomal RNA", at positions 19 to 859 of the family's 1478-position model. The record is from RNAcentral.
GGACCUGACUGCUAUCGGAUUGAUACUAAGCCAUGUGAGUCAUUGUAGCAAUACAAGGCAGACGGCUCAGUAACACGUAGCCAACCUACCCUAUGGACGGGGAUAACCUCGGGAAACUGAGGAUAAACCCCGAUAGAUCAUAAUGCCUGGAACGGUUUAUGGUCCAAAUGAUUCGUCGCCGUAGGAUGGGACUGCGGCCUAUCAGCUUGUUGGUGAGGUAAUGGCCCACCAAGGCUAUUACAGGUACGGGCUCUGAGAGGAGAAGCCCGGAGAUGGGUACUGAGACACGGACCCAGGCCCUAUGGGGCGCAGCAGGCGAGAAAACUUUGCAAUGUGCGCAAGCACGACAAGGUUAAUCCGAGUGAUUCCUGCUAAAGGAAUCUUUUGCUAGUCCUAAAAACACUAGCGAAUAAGGGGUGGGCAAGUUCUGGUGUCAGCCGCCGCGGUAAAACCAGCACCUCAAGUGGUCAGGAGGAUUAUUGGGCCUAAAGCAUCCGUAGCCUGCUCUGUAAGUUUCCGGUUAAAUCCAUUAGCUCAACUGAUGGGCCGCCGGAAAAACUGCAAAGCUAGGGAGUGGGAGAGGUAGACGGUACUCGGUAGGAAGGGGUAAAAUCCUUUGAUCUAUUGAUGACCACCUGUGGCGAAGGCGGUCUACCAGAACACGUUCGACGGUGAGGGAUGAAAGCUGGGGGAGCAAACCGGAUUAGAUACCCGGGUAGUCCCAGCUGUAAACGAUGCAGACUCGGUGAUGCCCUGGCUUGUGGCCAGUGCGGUGCCGCAGGGAAGCCGUUAAGUUUGCCGCCUGGGAAGUACGUACGCAAGUAUGAAACUUAA